UACGGAGGGUGCUAGCGUUGUUCGGAAUUAUUGGGCGUAAAGCGCACGUAGGCGGUUUUUCAAGUCUGAGGUGAAAGCCCGGAGCUUAACUCCGGAAUUGCCUUUGAAACUAGAGGACUUGAACGUCGGAGAGGUGAGUGGAAUUCCGAGUGUAGAGGUGAAAUUCGUAGAUAUUCGGAAGAACACCAGUGGCGAAGGCGGCUCACUGGACGACUGUUGACGCUGAGGUGCGAAAGCGUGGGGAGCAAACAGG
RNAcentral lists this ribosomal RNA (253 nucleotides) under uncultured bacterium. RNAcentral's name for it is "partial 16S ribosomal RNA". It matches the Rfam family "Bacterial small subunit ribosomal RNA", at positions 524 to 776 of the family's 1533-position model. The record is from RNAcentral.